Molecule: long non-coding RNA, 285 nt
Filed under: Manihot esculenta (cassava)
Lineage: Eukaryota; Viridiplantae; Streptophyta; Magnoliopsida; Malpighiales; Euphorbiaceae
Description: long non-coding RNA (MESC_LNC008120)
Source: RNAcentral
CAAAACCCAGGAUCUCACCAAAACUCAGGAUCUUAGAGGGACUGUCGGGAGGGAGGGAAGGGCGAUUUAGAGUGAGGGAGGGAAGGAAGGGCCUGUCGGGAGAGAGGGAUUAGGGGCUGACGGGAGGGAGGGAUUAGGGGCUGACGAGAGGGAGUGAGUGAGGGAAGAGGCUGACGAGAGGGAGUGAGUGAGGGAAGAGGCUGACGGUAGGGAGUGUGUGAAGGAGGGAAGGCGAUUUAGAGUGAGGGAGAGAAGGAAGGGGCUAUCGGUAGGGAGGGAGGGAUU